Molecule: long non-coding RNA, 1736 nt
Organism: Sarcophilus harrisii (Tasmanian devil)
Lineage: Eukaryota; Metazoa; Chordata; Mammalia; Dasyuromorphia; Dasyuridae
Source: Ensembl
UCACAAUCCAAUAGAAAGCUAAAUGGGAACUUUCAACUGGACCUGGGUAUACCCAGAUGGGACAGUAAUCCCAAUCACGCUAUUCAAGGUGAUUAUAGUCUUGGUUGAUUAACAGAAUUAUUUAUCCCUCUUAAUCUUAAGAAAAACAAUUUCUGACUUGUUUUAAACUGUAGGGAGACUUAUUCUGUGUUUGGGCAAAGCAAGCAGUUUCUGUAGUUGUAUAAUGUGAUUAGACCUUAAAAACCUCAACCAGCCUCCAAGCAUUUUGUCUCUUUGGCACCUUUUUUUUUUUCAUAGUGUUUUAUUUCUCCAAAUACAUGUAAAGAUACUCCCUAACAUUCAUCCCUGUGUUCCAAAUUUCCCCCCAUCCCCCAAGACAGCAAGAAAUUUGAAAGAGGCUAAACACAUUUGGCAGUAUUUCUCAUAUGACCUAGUCUGCAAUUUCCCAAUAUGCAAAAGUCACUGCUUUGGGUUAGGUACUAAAGGUAGGAACAAUUCUUUAAAAGGCCACCUUUAAUCCCCAAGCAUAUUGCCAAAGGGAACCUCAUCCAAAUUAUUGUGGAUUAAUUUCUUAGAAUUAGAGAUAGACGUCUCUGAAAGGAACCUGACAGAUCAUUCAAUCUAUGCAUUUGAUAGAUCCGUACAUAAUUGAAAUUACUGUGGUGAGAUUAGGAUUUUGCCCAAGAUGCUGAUGGCUAAAGUAGGGGUGAGCUUCUUUCCUAUGGGGACAACUAUCCUAUAUCUCAAGCCCAUCCCCAUGAUCCUGUCAUCAUAAAUCCCCUCUCUCAGAGUUCACCUUUUUCAUGCCCCAACAGCCCAAGUGUCUCAUGCUAAAUUCUCCAAUGCAAUGGUUUUAAACCUUGGAUAUAUUAAUUUUGCUUAAUUUUUUUCAUAAAUGUAUUUCAUUAUAUUGGUUCCUUUUGUAAUCCUAUGUAUUUUAUCUUAAAGACAUAGCAUUAUUCUGAGAAGGAAUCAAUAGGUUUCAUCAGACUAUCAAGAGGGUCCAUGACAGACCAGAAAAGUUAAGAAUCCUGCUUUCAUGGAUAGAUUACCCCAGUAUCAAGUGCUAAACUAGCGAUUUAAUAGUCUUCUGGUGGCUUGUUCAUAUCCCCAAUCAGGUAAAUUUGUCCUUAACAAAAGAAUCCCUAAUUGCAAAUGUGGAUGAAGCUACAGAAUUAGGUGGUAUCUUAGAAAGUACUGAGUACCCGGCUCUGAAAAAACUAAGACACAGGACAGUUGAGUAUCAAUGGAGAGAGUAAGAAUAUUCCAGUUACAAUCUUGAGUGGAUGGAGACAGCAUAGAGUGGACUGAGGAGGACAAGUAAGAUGUCUUAAAGCAGAACAGAAAGAAAGAAAGAAAGAAAGAAAGAAAGAAAGAAAGAAAGAAAGAAAGAAAGAAAGAAAGAAAGAAAGAAAGAAAGAAAGAAAAUUUGAAGGUCUGCACCAUCAAUCCAGCUUAGAUUCUUAAUUGCCUAAAUCACUGAGAGGUUAAAUGUUUUCCCUGGUGUCUUCAUAGUAUGUGUCAGAGACAGGACUUUAACCCAGGUUUUCCUCACUCCAACGCCAACUUCCUCUUCCAGGCUGCUUCAUGAACUAUGCCACAUUUCAUUUGUUUUAAAUUAUUUAGCUAACUGGCCACAAUUUUUCACAGUUAUAAAACCCCUGAUUUUGUCCUCAACACUUCUAGUUUAAUUAGAGCAGUGGUCUCUAAACUAUUUCUUAUCAUUAACUUCUUUU